GCGCAGCAGGCGCGAAUACUCCGCAAUGCGGGCAACCGCGACGGGGCUACCCCGAGUGCCGGGCGAAGAGCCCGGCUUUUGCCCGGUCUAAAACGCCGGGAGAAUAAGCGGGGGGCAAGUCUGGUGUCAGCCGCCGCGGUAAUACCAGCUCCGCGAGUGGUCGGGACGAUUAUUGGGCCUAAAGCGCCCGUAGCCGGCCCGGCAAGUCCCCUCCUAAAUUCCCGGGCUCAACCCGGGGACUGGAGGGGAUACUGCCGGGCUAGGGGGUGGGAGAGGCCGAGGGUACUCCCGGGGUAGGGGCGAAAUCCUAUAAUCCCGGGAGGACCACCAGUGGCGAAGGCGCUCGGCUGGAACACGCCCGACGGUGAGGGGCGAAAGCCGGGGGAGCGAACCGGAUUAGAUACCCGGGUAGUCCCGGCUGUAAACGAUGCGGGCUAGGUGUUGGCUGAGCUUCGUGCUCAGCCAGUGCCGCAGGGAAGCCGUUAAGCCCGCCGCCUGGGGAGUACGGCCGCAAGGCUGAAACUUAAAGGAAUUGGCGGGGGAGCAC
Molecule: ribosomal RNA, 547 nt
Filed under: uncultured archaeon
Lineage: Archaea
Description: bacterial SSU rRNA
Rfam family: Archaeal small subunit ribosomal RNA
Source: RNAcentral